Molecule: non-coding RNA, 1834 nt
Organism: Oryzias latipes (Japanese medaka)
Lineage: Eukaryota; Metazoa; Chordata; Actinopteri; Beloniformes; Adrianichthyidae
Source: RefSeq, a predicted model, not a curated record
UGAUUUUUGUUUUUUUUCUAUUGCAGGAUGUCGCCACCAAGACACGUGAAAGAAAUGUCUGCCAGGGGAAUUGUGAGCUUCUUUCCCGUCUCAGUGACCCUUUCUCUGGGACCGGUUAUGACCAUCACUAUGAUGGUGAGAGUGGAACAGGCUACUUAAAACUAUUCAGCUGCAAGAGACAGACCAUCAUCACAUGGAGGGAACACUACAAUUCUGAAAGAGUUGAACAACUUCGGGAUACAUUUUCAUUAAAUGUAAUUUGCUUGCAUGUUUGGUUAUCAAAAUCUGUCCUGUGUUGUAAAGAAUCAUCUGGAGGAGCAUCUCAUGAUGAUCAGCUUGGAGGACCAGCAUCCAGCCAGAAUCACAGUUAGUUCCACAAACAGUGCUGAGGCCUUGAUGAAACAUUCAGCGGAUGAAGAUGUAGUCAAGAGGAAGAUGAAGCUGACAUUUGACCAAAUGUCCAACAUGGUCCUUGACACACAGCAGUCAAGCAAUGUUCUGACGGUCUUUCCACGUUUAAAGACAUCAAAGGCUUGGUGGAACGAGAUUUAGUUUGGAUGUUCGGGGAGGAAAUCUCAGGUUUCAAGUUUCUGGAAAAAUAGAUGACUGCAUUCAAGCAAAAAGUCAGAAAGCUGCAGACCAGCAGUGAGUUGGUAGAUCUCCUCCUGGCAGCUGAUAACCCUGACAGUGGAGCUGAAGUGAUGACACCAUUGGUAACAGUUACACACAGUUGGCACUCUUUACUCAUUUUCUGUAAAUUAAAAAAAAAUAACAGUUUCAACUACAGUUUUGCAACAGUUACCAUUAUUUUCUUUUACUUUGUGCUAUUAUUGUGUGACAUGUUGGCAAUAGUUAAAGGGUCAAAUGACAAUAUUCUCUAAGCAUGUCUGACUGUUGCUCUACUUGAAAUACAUGUUUGUGUAUUCACAGGGUGGGACAGUGGUGGGACAGUGUUGCCCAUCGUUUACAGGUCGGCUUCCUCACUUGGUGCUUUUGAUGAACUAUUCAAGGCACAUUUUUUUUUUGCCACAACGUACAACCCAACGCUACACAACAUGUUCACAUUUUUCCAGACAAGAUGCACAACAUAGAUGUUGGGAAGUGAAGGAGAGCCCCCGUGUUGCAGAAGUUGGGGCCAGGCUGCUUCAUUAGCAGACUGCCAAGAAUUCCUGGGAAAAUGCCUGAGUUUGCCCCCGCAUUGCGGCUUCUUCUCCAUCCAUGGCUGCAAGGAUGACACCAUCCAUCCUUGAAAACUGGAGACAUGAAGAAAAAGAAAUAUUAAAAAAAAAAUAGAUGUAAAGAAGAGAUUUUCUGUGUGUGGACUUCAUACCUGGUGGGGAGGUUUUGUGGGGGCACCGGCCGAUGGCCUGUAUAGGUCCGGUAUGACGGUGUCCUUGCUUAGCUUCUCCUUUUGGUGCAGUUUGGAGAGUUUCCGAGCCGAACAUCUCCAAGAUCUUCCAGCAAGCCCAUUUGACUGGAGCUGUUUUUGUGAGCUCUCUGGAGGACUUCAUGGAAACGUGUUUGGCUCCUUUCACAUGGACCACGCCCACAUUGGAGGAUCUUCUGCAUGCGUCCGUGGCUGAGUGGAGGAGACUGUUUGGUCCAGAACGACACAUUGAGGGAAGUCCCAUAUUUUCCUUUGUGUGUGGGUUCACUCCAUGUCCCAUCUGAGUGGAUCCUCUUAACAUUGGAUACGGAUAUAUAGGGAAUGUGGGCGUGGUUAGCAAAAAAUCUCAGUUACUCCAAGAUCAAAAAGGCUACUUGUUCCCAUUUGUCAGAUGCUGACGUCAAUUUAUUAUCCAUAGCUGACCAAAAGAUUCAAUUGUCGAUAAAA